ACUAGAGUGGCAGAUUAGUGCAUAGGAUUUAAGAUCCUAUUAGGAAAUAUAUCAGGUUAUUUUUUCUAGUA
RNAcentral lists this transfer RNA (71 nucleotides) under Neorossia caroli. RNAcentral's name for it is "tRNA-Leu". The record is from RNAcentral. Lineage: Eukaryota; Metazoa; Mollusca; Cephalopoda; Sepiida; Sepiolidae.